ACUCCUACGGAAGGCAGCAGUAAGGAAUAUUGGACAAUGGAGGCAACUCUGAUCCAGCCAUGCCGCGUGAAGGAUGAAGGCGCUCAGCGUUGUAAACUUCUUUUGAGUGGGAACAAAAACCCCGACUUGUCGGGGCCUGAGGGUACCACUAGAAUAAGCACCGGCUAACUCCGUGCCAGCAGCCGCGGUAAU
RNAcentral lists this ribosomal RNA (192 nucleotides) under uncultured bacterium. Its description in RNAcentral is "partial 16S ribosomal RNA". It matches the Rfam family "Bacterial small subunit ribosomal RNA", at positions 335 to 524 of the family's 1533-position model. The record is from RNAcentral.